Molecule: ribosomal RNA, 432 nt
Filed under: uncultured bacterium
Lineage: Bacteria
Description: partial 16S ribosomal RNA
Rfam family: Bacterial small subunit ribosomal RNA
Source: RNAcentral
AACGAACGCUGGCGGCAUGCCUAACACAUGCAAGUCGAACGAGACCUUCGGGUCUAGUGGCGCACGGGUGCGUAACGCGUGGGAACCUGCCCUUAGGUUCGGAAUAACUCCCCGAAAGGGGUGCUAAUACCGGAUAAUGUCUUCGGACCAAAGAUUUAUCGCCUUUGGAUGGGCCCGCGUUGGAUUAGCUAGUUGGUAGGGUAAAAGCCUACCAAGGCGACGAUCCAUAGCUGGUCUGAGAGGAUGAUCAGCCACACUGGGACUGAGACACGGCCCAGACUCCUCCGGGAGGAAGCAGUGGGGAAUAUUGGAAAAUGGGCGAAGGCCUGUUCAAGCAAUGCGGGGUGAGUGAUGAAGGCUUUAGGGUUGUAAAGCUCUUUUCCCCGGAAUGAUAAUGACAGUACCGGGAGAAUAAGCUCCGGCUAACUCCGU